This 300-nucleotide ribosomal RNA is filed under the name Blattabacterium sp. (Neotermes jouteli). RNAcentral describes it as "bacterial SSU rRNA". It matches the Rfam family "Bacterial small subunit ribosomal RNA", at positions 118 to 435 of the family's 1533-position model. Lineage: Bacteria; Pseudomonadati; Bacteroidota; Flavobacteriia; Flavobacteriales; Blattabacteriaceae. The record is from RNAcentral.
UAGGAAUCUACCUAGUAGUACGGAAUAAUUGUUGGAAACGGCAACUAAUACCGUAUACGCCCUACGGGGGAAAAGUUUAUUGCUAUUAGAUGAGCCUAUAUUAGAUUAGUUAGUUGGUGAGGUAAAGGCUUACCAAGACAAUGAUCUAUAGCUGAUCUGAGAGGAUGAUCAGCCACACUGGAACUGAGAUACGGUCCAGACUCCUACGGGAGGCAGCAGUGGGGAAUAUUGGACAAUGGGCGAAAGCCUGAUCCAGCCAUGCCGCAUGAGUGAAGAAGGCCUUCAGGUUGUAAAGCUCUU